RNAcentral lists this ribosomal RNA (278 nucleotides) under uncultured bacterium. RNAcentral's name for it is "partial 16S ribosomal RNA". It matches the Rfam family "Bacterial small subunit ribosomal RNA", at positions 334 to 628 of the family's 1533-position model. The record is from RNAcentral.
GUUGCCUACGGGGCGCAGCAGUGGGGGAUAUUGCACAAUGGGGGGAACCCUGAUGCAGCGACGCCGCGUGGGUGAAGGAGCGUUUCGGCGCGUAAAGCCCUAUCGGCAGGGCAGAAGGAGGACGGUACCUGACUAAGAAGCCCCGGCUAACUACGUGCCAGCAGCCGCGGCAAUACGUAGGGGGCAAGCGUUAUCCGGAUUUACUGGGUGUAAAGGGGGCGCAGACGGCAGCGCCAGCCAGGAGUGCAAGCCCCGGCCCCCACCCCCGCCCUCCCCUU